RNAcentral lists this ribosomal RNA (420 nucleotides) under uncultured bacterium. Its description in RNAcentral is "bacterial SSU rRNA". It matches the Rfam family "Bacterial small subunit ribosomal RNA", at positions 69 to 485 of the family's 1533-position model. The record is from RNAcentral.
AUGAGAGGAGCUUGCUCCUUGAUUUAGCGGCGGACGGGUGAGUAAUGCCUAGGAAUCUGCCUGGUAGUGGGGGAUAACGUUCCGAAAGGAACGCUAAUACCGCAUACGUCCUACGGGAGAAAGCAGGGGACCUUCGGGCCUUGCGCUAUCAGAUGAGCCUAGGUCGGAUUAGCUAGUUGGUGAGGUAAUGGCUCACCAAGGCGACGAUCCGUAACUGGUCUGAGAGGAUGAUCAGUCACACUGGAACUGAGACACGGUCCAGACUCCUACGGGAGGCAGCAGUGGGGAAUAUUGGACAAUGGGCGAAAGCCUGAUCCAGCCAUGCCGCGUGUGUGAAGAAGGUCUUCGGAUUGUAAAGCACUUUAAGUUGGGAGGAAGGGCAGUAAGCUAAUACCUUGCUGUUUUGACGUUACCGACAGA